RNAcentral lists this long non-coding RNA (1540 nucleotides) under Oryctolagus cuniculus (rabbit). Its description in RNAcentral is "lncRNA (ENSOCUG00000037904.1)". The record is from RNAcentral. Lineage: Eukaryota; Metazoa; Chordata; Mammalia; Lagomorpha; Leporidae.
GGCAUUUUUGUCUAGUAAAAACAGUAAGUUUUACAACAAUUAUUUCUCAAACAGUUUCUCAUUGUGUAAAAUAUAUUUCAUAUGAUGUAGAGCUAUAUAAGCAGGUUUUUGGCUGACUUUUUUUUUAUCAGUUAAUCCAUGUGUAUUAUUUUCCUUUACUAUAUUCCUACUGCAUUAUACAAGGUUUAGAAGAAUAUCUGGAUAUCUAAUACUCUAAGUUAGGGUGCUUCUGGAGUCAAGACAUAUAAUAAAGAAAACUUGUGAAUAAGUUCCAUGGCACUUUCCCCUUCUUUCUGAUGCAUUUAUAAAUGUUAAGAUACAAAGAGAUUCACUCAAUGAAGUCUGGUUUUCCAGUGGAUGUGAACAUGUCUCAUACACCCCAGAGCACCAGCAGGGUUUUGUGCUGAGAUAGCCAUCUACUACUCGAGGGAAAGUGGCUGUUUGCCCUGGAUUCACUGUAUGAUCUUGAGCAAGUCACCUCACAUUCUUGAACCUCAGUCAACCCAUUUGGAGAAUUAGGUGAAAGCUAAGCCUUAGUGAGAAACAGAUGCUACAUCUGAGAUGAGUUUUCUUGUGUAAACAAGUAAUUCCAAAGUUUAAUUCCAAAGAAAGUUGCUGCGUGGAUGGUCAUGAUAUGGAGUCGACACGAGCUAUUGUGUUCAUGCAUUUGACAUUAACUAAAGGAGCAGUAGCUUGGCCUUUGAGUGGAAAACAAUCCAGGAAUUUCAGAGGAGAGGAACUCAGCAACAAGAGGCCUGGAGCUAUUAUCUUCUGAAGGGAGAUGAAAGCGCUCCAGUCCCUGUGCUUUCCUGGUUGCCUGCACAGGACUCUCUUGACUUCAUUGUGAGAACACAUCUGUGGUAUGAUUUGGCCCUGGAUUUCUUUAGAAACUAAGUGAAGUUCAAUAGAGUGAGAUGCGAAAUAACUGUUAGCUUAUGUAUGAUCACCCCUGCAAGACCCAGAAUCUGAUGGGCAAAAACUUAAAAACUUCAGAGGAGGGGAAUAAUGAAAGCCUAAAUUUAGAUUCCAUAUCUAGAGAAAAUACUCAAUUUACCAAACAUUUUAGAAAGUAGGCGGGAUAAAACCAGUAAUGCUCAUAUUGUAUUGACAUUUUAGACAAUUGUGAAUGAGUUUUCAUCAUUAAGAACACUCUACCAGUAUUUUUUACUGAAUUAUUAUUUAUAGACUUACUUGAGAGGCAGAGAAAGAGACGGAGAGGGUAGAAGUGGAGAGAGGGAGGGAGGGAGAAAGGGAGGAGGAGGAGGAGAGAGGAAGAGAGAGAAAGCUUAUGCUCCUAUCUGCACAUUCACUCCUCCAAAGUCUACACAAUGGAGCUGGACCAAGUUGAUUCUGGAAGCUAGGAACUCCGUCUGGAUCUCCUACAUGAAUGGCAGAACACCAACUGCUUGAGCCAUCACCUCUGCCUCCAAGGGUGUGCACUAGCAGGAAAGUGGAGUCAGGAGCCAGAGCUAGGAGUUGAAUCCAGGUACUCCAGUGUGGGAUAUGCAUAUCAUAGCCACUAAGCCAAGUGCCUGUUCUC